UGCCAUAUCAAUAAGCGGAGGAAAAGAAACUAACAAGGAUUCCCCUAGUAACGGCGAGUGAAGCGGGAAGAGCUCAAAUUUGAAAUCUGGCAGUCUUCGAUUGUCCGAGUUGUAAUCUAUAGAGGCGUUUUCCGUGCCGGACCGUGUCCAAGUCUCCUGGAAAGGAGUAUCAAAGAGGGUGAUAAUCCCGUACUUAACACGACCACCGGUGCUCUGAUUUCCGUCUUCUACGAGUCGAGUUGUUUGGGAAUAA
Molecule: ribosomal RNA, 253 nt
Filed under: uncultured fungus
Lineage: Eukaryota; Fungi
Description: partial 26S ribosomal RNA
Rfam family: Eukaryotic large subunit ribosomal RNA
Source: RNAcentral